This 253-nucleotide ribosomal RNA is filed under the name uncultured bacterium. Its description in RNAcentral is "partial 16S ribosomal RNA". It matches the Rfam family "Bacterial small subunit ribosomal RNA", at positions 524 to 776 of the family's 1533-position model. The record is from RNAcentral.
UACGUAGGUGGCAAGCGUUGUCCGGAAUUAUUGGGCGUAAAGCGCGCGCAGGCGGUCCUUUAAGUCUGAUGUGAAAGCCCACGGCUCAACCGUGGAGGGUCAUUGGAAACUGGGGGACUUGAGUGCAGAAGAGGAAAGCGGAAUUCCACGUGUAGCGGUGAAAUGCGUAGAGAUGUGGAGGAACACCAGUGGCGAAGGCGGCUUUCUGGACAGUGACUGACGCUGAGACACGAAAGCGUGGGGAGCAAACAGG